ACGGAGGGUGCAAGCGUUAAUCGGAAUUACUGGGCGUAAAGCGCACGUAGGUGGUUUUUUAAGCUAGAUGUGAAAGCCCCGGGCUCAACCUGGGAACUGCAUUUAGAACUGGGGAACUAGAGUAUAGUAGAGGAGUGUGGAAUUUCAGGUGUAGCGGUGAAAUGCGUAGAGAUCUGAAGGAACAUCAGUGGCGAAGGCGACACUCUGGACUAAUACUGACACUGAGGUGCGAAAGCGUGGGUAGCAAACAGG
Molecule: ribosomal RNA, 252 nt
Filed under: uncultured bacterium
Lineage: Bacteria
Description: partial 16S ribosomal RNA
Rfam family: Bacterial small subunit ribosomal RNA
Source: RNAcentral